RNAcentral lists this unclassified non-coding RNA (309 nucleotides) under plant metagenome. RNAcentral's name for it is "partial contains 5.8S ribosomal RNA, internal transcribed spacer 2, and large subunit ribosomal RNA". The stretch from base 1 to 105 matches the Rfam family "5.8S ribosomal RNA", at positions 50 to 154 of the family's 154-position model. The record is from RNAcentral.
GAAAUGCGAUAAGUAGUGUGAAUUGCAGAAUUCAGUGAAUCAUCGAAUCUUUGAACGCACAUUGCGCCCCUUGGUAUUCCAUGGGGCAUGCCUGUUCGAGCGUCAUUUGUACCCUCAAGCUCUGCUUGGUGUUGGUGUUUGUCCCCGUCUCCGCGCGUGGACUCGCCCCAAAGUGAUUGGCAGCCGGCGUACUGGUCCCGGAGCGCAGCACAUGUCGCGCAAACGAGUGCCUUGGUACGGCGGCGUCCAUAAGCCCCUCUCUCACGCUCUUGACCUCGGAUCAGGUAGGGAUACCCGCUGAACUUAAGC